Molecule: ribosomal RNA, 449 nt
Filed under: uncultured bacterium
Lineage: Bacteria
Description: partial 16S ribosomal RNA
Rfam family: Bacterial small subunit ribosomal RNA
Source: RNAcentral
AACGAACGCUGGCGGCAUGCCUAACACAUGCAAGUCGAACGAAGGCUUCGGCCUUAGUGGCGCACGGGUGAGUAACGCGUGGGAAACUGCCUAUUGGGGGGGAAUAACGACGGGACACUGUCGCUAAUACCGCAUAAGCCCUCCGGGGGAAAGAUUUAUCGCCGGUAGAUGUGCCCGCGUCCGAUUAGCUAGUUGGUGAGGUAAGGGCUCACCAAGGCGACGAUCGGUAGCUGGUCUGAGAGGAUGAUCAGCCACACUGGGACUGAGACACGGCCCAGACUCCUACGGGAGGCAGCAGUGGGGAAUAUUGGACAAUGGGCGAAAGCCUGAUCCAGCAAUGCCGCGUGAGUGAUGAAGGCCUUAGGGUUGUAAAGCUCUUUCGGGUGGGACGAUGAUGACGGUACCACCAGAAGAAGCCCCGGCUAACUUCGUGCCAGCCGCCGCCGUAA